This 482-nucleotide ribosomal RNA is filed under the name uncultured bacterium. RNAcentral's name for it is "partial 16S ribosomal RNA". It matches the Rfam family "Bacterial small subunit ribosomal RNA", at positions 28 to 507 of the family's 1533-position model. The record is from RNAcentral.
GACGAACGCUGGCGGCGUGCUUAACACAUGCAAGUCGAACGCUGAAGCUCAGCUUGCUGGGUGGAUGAGUGGCGAACGGGUGAGUAACACGUGAGUAACCUGCCCUCUUCUUUGGGAUAACGCCCGGAAACGGGUGCUAAUACUGGAUAUUCACUGAUUCUCGCAUGGGGGUUGGUGGAAAGGUUUUUUCUGGUGGGGGAUGGGCUCGCGGCCUAUCAGCUUGUUGGUGGGGUGAUGGCCUACCAAGGCUUUGACGGGUAGCCGGCCUGAGAGGGUGACCGGUCACAUUGGGACUGGGAUACGGCCCAGACUCCUACGGGAGGCAGCAGUGGGGAAGAUUGCACAAUGGGCGAAAGCCUGAUGCAGCGACGCCGCGUGAGGGAUGGAGGCCUUCGGGUUGUAAACCUCUUUCGCUCAUGGUCAAGCCGCAGCUUUGGGUUGUGGUGAGGGUAGUGGGUAAAGAAGCGCCGGCUAACUACGUG